UUACUUACCUGGACGGGGUCAAUGGGCGGUCAAGAAGGCCCAUGGCCUAGCUUUGUGACUCCCAUUGCACUUGGGGAGGGUGCAGGGCUAAGGUCUACCCAAGUGGUGGAGCCUACGUCGUUAUUUGUGGUUGUGGGGGCCUGCGUUCGCGCGGCCCCUGU
This is a non-coding RNA of Morus notabilis, 161 nucleotides long. The record is from Rfam. NCBI's taxonomy places the organism in Eukaryota, Viridiplantae, Streptophyta, Magnoliopsida, Rosales, Moraceae.